Molecule: ribosomal RNA, 1345 nt
Filed under: uncultured bacterium
Lineage: Bacteria
Description: bacterial SSU rRNA
Rfam family: Bacterial small subunit ribosomal RNA
Source: RNAcentral
GACGAACGCUGGCGGCGUGCUUAACACAUGCAAGUCGAACGAUGAAGCCUAGCUUGCUAGGUGGAUUAGUGGCGAACGGGUGAGUAAUACGCGAGUGACCUACCUUUGACUCUGGGAUAAGCCUGGGAAACUGGGUCUAAUACCGGAUACGACCAAUCUCCGCAUGGGGUGUUGGUGGAAAGCGUUAUGGAGUGGUUUUAGAUGAGCUCACGGCCUAUCAGCUUGUUGGUGAGGUAAUGGCUUACCAAGGCGACGACGGGUAGCCGGCCUGAGAGGGUGACCGGCCACACUGGGACUGAGACACGGCCCACACUCCUACGGGAUUUAUUAUUGGGGAAUAUUGCACAAUGGGCUCAAGUGGGGGGGGGGGGCGCCCCCCGACGGAUGACGGCCUUCGGGUUGUAAACCUCUGUUAUCCUCGAAGAAUCGAAUGUGACCGUAUGUGCCUAGAAUGCGGCCGCUAACUACCUGCCACCAUCCGCGGUAAAACGUAGGGGCCGAGCGUUGUCCGGAAUUAUUGGGACGUAAGAGUUUGUGGCGGUUGGUCGCGUCUGCUGUGAAGGCUGGGGCUUAUUCCUGGUUUUGCAGUGGGUACGGGCUAACUAGAGUGCAGUAGGGGAGACUGGAAUUCCUGGUGUAGCGGUGGAAUGCGCAGAUAUCAGGAGGAACACCGAUGGCGAAGGCAGGUCUCUGGGCUGUAACUGACGCUGAGAAGCGAAAGCAUGGGGAGCGAACAGGAUUAGAUACCCUGGUAGUCCAUGCCGUAAACGUUGGGCACUAGGUGUGGGGGACAUUCCACGUUUUCCGCGCCGUAGCUAACGCAUUAAGUGCCCCGCCUGGGGAGUACGGCCGCAAGGCUAAAACUCAAAGAAAUUGACGGGGGCCCGCACAAGCGGCGGAGCAUGCGGAUUAAUUCGAUGCAACGCGAAGAACCUUACCAAGGCUUGACAUAUACUGGACUGCGUCAGAGAUGGCGUUUCCCUUCGGGGCUGGUAUACAGGUGGUGCAUGGUUGUCGUCAGCUCGUGUCGUGAGAUGUUGGGUUAAGUCCCGCAACGAGCGCAACCCUCGUUCUAUGUUGCCAGCACGUGAUGGUGGGGACUCAUAGGAGACUGCCGGGGUCAACUCGGAGGAAGGUGGGGAUGACGUCAAAUCAUCAUGCCCCUUAUGUCUUGGGCUUCACGCAUGCUACAAUGGCCGGUACAGAGGGUUGCGAUACUGUGAGGUGGAGCUAAUCCCUAAAAGCCGGUCUCAGUUCGGAUUGGGGUCUGCAACUCGACCCCAUGAAGUCGGAGUCGCUAGUAAUCGCAGAUCAGCAACGCUGCGGUGAAUACGUUCCCGGGCCU